This is a long non-coding RNA of Magnolia sinica, 319 nucleotides long. RefSeq lists it as uncharacterized. The transcript is spliced from 3 exons. The record is from RefSeq and is a predicted model, not a curated record. Lineage: Eukaryota; Viridiplantae; Streptophyta; Magnoliopsida; Magnoliales; Magnoliaceae.
GGCCCCACAACCAAAAUCAACGGACAACACUACAACAAAAGGUAAAGGCUUGGAUUACCAAAGCUUCAAAGAGUAUAUCAUCAUUUUGGAAGGUCCGUGAAAAGAACUUAGGUUACAAUGCAGGUGAUUCUGAUUCGGAUGAGUCAAAAGGCGAUUUGAAAUAAAGAUCAAUAAGAUAUGUUUUAUUUAAACGGAAGAGUGUAGGUGAGUUAAAUUUCUUUCGGAUCUAUCAUGGUGUUGAAAUUGCUUGACAAAUCAUGAUUACAAAUUUUCAAAUUUUAUAUGUUUUAGUUUAUGCAAACUCAUGGUACAAGGAAGC